RNAcentral lists this long non-coding RNA (205 nucleotides) under Elaeis guineensis (African oil palm). RNAcentral's name for it is "long non-coding RNA (EGUI_LNC076341)". Lineage: Eukaryota; Viridiplantae; Streptophyta; Magnoliopsida; Arecales; Arecaceae. The record is from RNAcentral.
GUGCAACCUAGUUCCUACAAUGAAUAUGCUACAGCCAACAUACACCUUAGGAUUCUGAAUGGCUAGGAGAUCGAGUUAUAGUAUAGUCAAACUAUAACACACUCAAGGUGAACUGUCGAUGCACCUCAGGUCAAAGAACUAGACACACAACUGCAGCAUCGAGCUAGUCAUCGACGAGAAGGUAGACUUCCUUAUGACUGCUCGA